GUGCCAGCAGCCGCGGUAAUUCCAGCUCUAGGAGCGUCUGUGUGUGUUGCUGCGGUUAAAAAGCGCGUAGUCGGGCAGACAGCCAGCAAUAAAGGUGCGGUCUCUUGCCGUGCAUUGUGCUGGAACGAAGGCCUAGGGACCGGAGAGGGGCAAUGGUAUUCGGCAGCGAGGGGUGAAAACCAGUGACCUGUCGAGGAGCAACAGAGGCGAAAGCGGUUGUCCGUUACGGGUCCGACGAUCAAGCGCGUGAGCAGGAGUAUCGAAGUCGAUUAGAGACCGACGUAGUUCCUGCAGUAAACGAUGCCGACGGGGUCGCAGGAUACUGUGGCCCGGGGGAAACCGAGUGUAUGGGCUCCGGGGAUAGUACGGGCGCAAGCCGGAAACUUAAAGAAAUUGACGGAAGGACACCACAAGGAGUGGAGUGUGCGGGUUAAUUUGACUCAACGCGGGACAACUUACCGGAGGCAGGCAGUAUCGUGUGAAGGGGCAUGGGAUAAAGAUGCCUGUGUUCCCGAGGAUGCUGCCUUGUGGUGCAUGGCCCGUUCUUAACACGUGGGGUGACCUGUCUGGUUAAAUCCGAUAACGCGUGAGACCCUG
This 597-nucleotide ribosomal RNA is filed under the name Episeptum circumscriptum. RNAcentral's name for it is "SSU rRNA". It matches the Rfam family "Microsporidia small subunit ribosomal RNA", at positions 390 to 965 of the family's 1311-position model. The record is from RNAcentral. Lineage: Eukaryota; Fungi; Microsporidia; Gurleyidae.